Molecule: long non-coding RNA, 203 nt
Organism: Thalassophryne amazonica
Lineage: Eukaryota; Metazoa; Chordata; Actinopteri; Batrachoidiformes; Batrachoididae
Exons: 3
Source: RefSeq, a predicted model, not a curated record
UACAGUAAUGAUAAUAUGGGUGAGCCCCGUUAACUCGCACAUGCGUAAGUCGUGAUUCAGCUUUACUCGCGGUCAAGUUGUGGACCCUGAAAAUUUAGACUAACUAUAAAAGUGUAUUUUGAUUUGACUGUUUUUGGGAGGGAUCAUCAGUGCAUACGAUUCUGGACAAUGAUUUCUUUUUCCUCCUUCGGCUGGUGCAGGUC